This 497-nucleotide ribosomal RNA is filed under the name uncultured bacterium. Its description in RNAcentral is "partial 16S ribosomal RNA". It matches the Rfam family "Bacterial small subunit ribosomal RNA", at positions 28 to 507 of the family's 1533-position model. The record is from RNAcentral.
GAUGAACGCUGGCGGCGUGCCUAAUACAUGCAAGUCGAGCGAACGGACGAGAAGCUUGCGUCUCUGAUGUUAGCGGCGGACGGGUGAGUAACACGUGUAUAACCUACCUAUAAGACGGGGAUAACUUCGGGAAACGGGCGCUAACACCGGAUAAUAUUUUGAACCGCAGGGGUCAAUGGUGAAAGACGGCCUUGCUGGCACUUAUAGCUGGAUCCGCGCUGCGUUAGCUAGUUGGGAAGGUAACGGCUUACCAAGGCAACCAUGCAUAGCCGACCUGAGGGGGUGAUCGGCCACCCUGGAACUGAGGCACGGUCCAGACUCCUACGGUAGGCCCCAGUAGGGAAUCUUCCGCAAUGGUCGAAAGCCUUACGGAGCAGCGCCGCGUGAGUGAUGAAGGUCUUCGGAUCGUAAUGCUCUGUUAUUGGGGAAGAACAGAUGUGUAAGUAACUGUGCACAUCUUGACGGUACCUAGUCAGAAAGCCCCGGCUAACUACGUG